Molecule: long non-coding RNA, 1071 nt
Filed under: Astyanax mexicanus (Mexican tetra)
Lineage: Eukaryota; Metazoa; Chordata; Actinopteri; Characiformes; Acestrorhamphidae
Description: lncRNA (ENSAMXG00005002835.1)
Source: RNAcentral
UCUUUAAGGUGUUCUGGUUAUUUCUGUUGUCCAUCAUCUGCUUCAUAUUCCUAUGUGCUGUGAACCUCUGGCACUGCUCUCAUCUGCAGAGGAGAAGAAGGAUGAGAGGAUGAAGACUGACAGUUCAGAACCAGCUGAAGAUGCUGCUCCUGGGCCAAGUCUAGCAGAUGAUAAAGAGUCAAACUCUUAUCCUAGCCACAAUCUUAUGGUGUACCAAGAGCCAGUAUCUUUUCCUGAUCCGAAUCUAGUGGAUGAACAGGAGAUGGUCUCUAAUCCUGACCCCAAUCUUUCGGAUGACGAGGUGUCGGCCUCAGAUUCUGACCCCAGUCUUGCGGAUGACCAGGAGUCGGUCUCAGAUCCUGAUCCCUGUGUAGCAGACAACAAGGAGUUGGUCUGGUAUCCUGAUCCCUAUCUGGUGGACAACCAAGAGUUGGUUUCGUAUCCUGAUUCCUAUAUAGCAGACAACCAGGAGUCGAUCUCAUAUCCUGAGCCCUAUCUAGCGGACAACCAGGAAUUGGUCUCGUAUCCUGAGCCCUAUCUAGCAGACCAGCAGGAUCCGGUCACACAUCCUGAUCCAUAUCAAGUGGAUGGCCAGGAAUUGGCCUCAUAUCCUGAUCCAUAUCUAGCAGACAACCAGCAGCCAUACUUGUAUCCUGACCCCUAUCUAGCAGAUGACCAGGAGUCUGUCAGGUAUCCUGAGCCCUAUCUUUCAGAUGAUGAGGAGUCGUAGAAGAGGAGCAGCAGUCAUUCCUGUCACUCGUCUGCAGGUCCAAUUUAUCAAGUAGCAGUGGAGCAUUCAGCCUGUUUGGCCAGGGAGUCCUCUAUGACUGCUGGUGCCCUGGUCCUGGUUUCAUAUCCUGCUGUCUGCUCUGCCUCACAUCCUGUAUACCCAUCACUCCAUAUUCAAAUGUCUGGUUUCAUUAACUGCCACACGGUUUUGCACCAAACGUACUCUGAAUUAUUUUAGUUUUACACCUUUUUAAGCUUAACUUUAAACUAAUAGCAAGUUUAAUGAUAUUAUUGUUGGAAUUAACCUUUACUUUUAGCAUUACUGAUGCCAAAUGACUAUCA